RNAcentral lists this ribosomal RNA (523 nucleotides) under Cyphogenia chinensis. Its description in RNAcentral is "partial 16S ribosomal RNA". Lineage: Eukaryota; Metazoa; Arthropoda; Insecta; Coleoptera; Tenebrionidae. The record is from RNAcentral.
UCCGGUCUGAACUCAGAUCACGUAAAGUUUUAAAGGUCGAACAGACCUAAUCUUUUCAGCUUCUACACCAAAAUUAAACUUUAAUCCAACAUCGAGGUCGCAAACUUCUUUAUCAAUAAGAACUCUCUAAAAAAAUUACGCUGUUAUCCCUAAGGUAAUUUAAUCUUAUAAUCUAAAAAAUAGGAUCAAAUAUUCACUAAUUAGUGUUAAAAUAAUAAAAAGUUAAUUAAAUUUUUAAAUCACCCCAACAAAAUAUUAAAAAACGCAAAUUAAAAUAAAACCAUAUUAAAUUUUACGUACCAAAAUAUAAAACUCUAUAGGGUCUUCUCGUCUUCAUAAAAAAUUUAAGCUUUUUAACUUAAAAUUAAAAUUCUAUAGCAUUAACAAAGAGACAGUUAUUUUUUCAUCAAACCAUUCAUUCCAGCUUUCAAUUAAAAAACUAAUGAUUAUGCUACCUUUGCACAGUCAAAAUACUGCGGCCAUUAAAAUAAUCAUUGGGCAGGCCAGACUUUAUAUUAUAAUC